GGCUAACUCCGCCAUCUCUAAAAAUGGAAUUCUCUCGAGUAGACUACAUGAAUGAUGACUCUGACUAUAAUUCUCCCUAUAUCUUCAAGGGAUCUUCCUCAGCAACUACAUCUCAGAGGCCCGGUAUUCACCGGCUUGCAGGAUAUGACUUUAAGGCUGAGGCUUAUCAGAAGGUAGAUGAAUUUCCUGCACACAUUAUAAGAGAAGGGGAUAAGAAGAUAAAAGAUGUGGUCAAGGAGCAUGUACUCCCUUUCCUUCCUGCUAAGUCGCUUAUGAAGUUUAAGGCCGUGUCUAAAGAUUGGGAUAAAUGG
This 311-nucleotide unclassified non-coding RNA is filed under the name Hevea brasiliensis (rubber tree). Lineage: Eukaryota; Viridiplantae; Streptophyta; Magnoliopsida; Malpighiales; Euphorbiaceae. The record is from RNAcentral.